AUUCCAGCUCCAAUAGCGUAUAUUAAAGUUGUUGCGGUUAAAAAGCUCGUAGUUGGAUUUCUGCCGAGGACGACCGGUCUGCCCACUGGGUGUGUAUCUGGUUCGGCCUGGGCAUCUUCUUGGAGAACGUAUCUGCACUUGACUGUGUGGUGCGGUAUCCAGGACCUUUACUUUGAGGAAAUUAGAGUGUUUCAAGCAGGCACACGCCUUGAAUACAUUAGCAUGGAAUAAUAAGAUAGGACCUCGGUUCUAUUUUGUUGGUUUCUAGAACUGUGGUAAUGAUUAAUAGGGACAGUUGGGGGUAUUCAUAUUUGAUUGUCAGAGGUGAAAUUCUUGGAUUUAUGAAAGAUGAACUUAUGCGAAAGCAUUUACCAGGGAUGUUUUCAUUG
RNAcentral lists this ribosomal RNA (389 nucleotides) under Thoracosphaeraceae sp. RNAcentral's name for it is "partial small subunit ribosomal RNA". It matches the Rfam family "Eukaryotic small subunit ribosomal RNA", at positions 582 to 975 of the family's 1831-position model. Lineage: Eukaryota; Dinophyceae; Thoracosphaerales; Thoracosphaeraceae. The record is from RNAcentral.